CGGGAGGCCCCCCAGGGGGAAUUUUNGGAACANGGGGGNCAAAGCCUUUUCCCAACCANNCCCGGGGUUUUUAAAAAAAGCCCUUCGGGGUUNNNAAANGGAANUUUNNNCAAGGNAAAAAAAAANGGGGGGGGGGGNUUUAAANACCCCCNUNUUUUUUAAANNNNCGGGGNACCCNUNAAAAAAAAANAAAGGCCNCCCGGGGCUUAAAANNAAAGGGNGNCCCAAANCAAANCCCCGGGGGNUUAAANNAACUUUAAGGGNUUNCCAAANCCCUUUUAAAAUCNGGAAAUUUAUUGGGGGGGUAAAAAGCGGGGNCCCAANACGGGUUNANUUNAAGCCAGGAAUGUUGAAAUCCCCGGGGGCUCCAACCUGGGAAAUGGGUUUUUGAACUGGGUGAUUAGAGUGUGUCAGAGGNAGGUAGAAUUCCCACGUGUACCAGUGAAAUGCGUAGAGAUGUGNAGGAAUACCGAUGGCGAAGGCAGCNUCNUGGGAUAACACUGACGUUCAUGCCCGAAAGCGUGGGUAGCAAACAGGAUUAGAUACCNUGGUAGUCCACGCCCUAAACGAUGUCGAUUAGCUGUUGGGCAGCAUGACUGCUUAGUAGCGAAGCUAACGCGUGAAAUCGACCGCCUGGGGAGUACGGUCGCAAGAUUAAAACUCAAAGGAAUUGACGGGGACCCGCACAAGCGGUGGAUGAUGUGGAUUAAUUCGAUGCAACGCGAAGAACCUUACCUGGUCUUGACAUGUACGGAACCCUCCAGAGACGGAGGGGUGCCUUCGGGAGCCGUAACACAGGUGCUGCAUGGCUGUCGUCAGCUCGUGUCGUGAGAUGUUGGGUUAAGUCCCGCAACGAGCGCAACCCUUGUCAUUAGUUGCCAUCAUUUAGUUGGGCACUCUAAUGAGACUGCCGGUGACAAGCCGGAGGAAGGUGGGGAUGACGUCAAGUCCUCAUGGCCCUUAUGACCAGGGCUUCACACGUCAUACAAUGGUCGGUACAGAGGGUAGCCAAGCCGCGAGGUGGAGCCAAUCUCACAAAACCGAUCGUAGUCCGGAUUGCACUCUGCAACUCGAGUGCAUGAAGUCGGAAUCGCUAGUAAUCGCAGGUCAGCAUACUGCGGUGAAUACGUUCCCGGGUCUUGUACACAUCGCCCGUCACACCAUGGGAGUGGGGGAUACCAGAAGUAGGUAGGAUAACCGCAAGGGGUCCGCUUACCACGGUAUGCUUCAUGACUGGGGUGAAGUCGUAACAAGGUAGCCGUAGGGGAACCUGCGGCUGGAUCACCUCC
RNAcentral lists this ribosomal RNA (1289 nucleotides) under uncultured bacterium. RNAcentral's name for it is "partial 16S ribosomal RNA". The stretch from base 253 to 1289 matches the Rfam family "Bacterial small subunit ribosomal RNA". The record is from RNAcentral.